GACGUAGGGCGCAAGCGUUGUCCGGAUUUAUUGGGCGUAAAGAGCUCGUAGGCGGCUUGUUGCGUCGGCCGUGAAAACCUGUGGCUCAACUACAGGCUUGCGGUCGAUACGGGCGGGCUGGAGUUCGGUAGGGGAGACUGGAAUUCCUGGUGUAGCGGUGAAAUGCGCAGAUAUCAGGAGGAACACCGGUGGCGAAGGCGGGUCUCUGGGCCGAUACUGACGCUGAGGAGCGAAAGCGUGGGGAGCGAACAGG
This 253-nucleotide ribosomal RNA is filed under the name uncultured bacterium. RNAcentral's name for it is "partial 16S ribosomal RNA". It matches the Rfam family "Bacterial small subunit ribosomal RNA", at positions 524 to 776 of the family's 1533-position model. The record is from RNAcentral.